Molecule: ribosomal RNA, 292 nt
Filed under: uncultured bacterium
Lineage: Bacteria
Description: partial 16S ribosomal RNA
Rfam family: Bacterial small subunit ribosomal RNA
Source: RNAcentral
GUGUCAGCAGCCGCGGUAAUACGUAGGGGGCAAGCGUUGUCCGGAUUUAUUGGGCGUAAAGAGCGUGUAGGCGGCCAGACAGGUCCGUUGUGAAAACUAGAGGCUUAACCUCUAGACGUCGAUGGAAACCGUUUGGCUAGAGUCCGGAAGAGGAGAAUGGAAUUCCUGGUGUAGCGGUGAAAUGCGCAGAUAUCAGGAAGAACACCCGUGGCUAAGGCGGUUCUCUAGUACGGUACUGACGCUGAGACGCGAAAGCGUGGGGAGCGAACAGGAUUAGAAACCCCCGUAGUCC